UCAAAGCUCUUACUAUAUAGUUAUGUAUUUUUAUCUUGUUUUUAGAUGAGUGUUCAAUAGACAUUCACCUGAACUGCCUCAUGGAGGAAGUCUCUAGAUGAUGCUAAGGAAGAGUGAUGUUUCAGGGUCCAUUCAAGCCAGACUGCAGUAGGAUGCUGGAAAAAAGUUGAUUGUUUCAAGGACCUUUUUAGCAUCUAAACGUCUAGUACUUACCACAAGGGAUUGUAAUUAUUUUCUUACAUGUCAACAAACUCUUAACAGGAAGAGCUCCAAACUUAUUUUUCUUUGUAUUCCUACUCCCAGAAGCAAAAAUGAUUUACAGAAAGUGUUGAGUGAAUAUAAAAGACUUUUUCCUAUUGG
This 360-nucleotide long non-coding RNA is filed under the name Felis catus (domestic cat). RNAcentral describes it as "lncRNA (ENSFCAG00000053102.1)". Lineage: Eukaryota; Metazoa; Chordata; Mammalia; Carnivora; Felidae. The record is from RNAcentral.